RNAcentral lists this long non-coding RNA (629 nucleotides) under Cyanistes caeruleus (blue tit). Its description in RNAcentral is "lncRNA (ENSCCEG00000004339.1)". The record is from RNAcentral. Lineage: Eukaryota; Metazoa; Chordata; Aves; Passeriformes; Paridae.
CCCAAAACGAGACAGAAAGAGCAAAAUCCUUCCUGUGGUGGAGCUGCUGUGGGAGGAGAGCUCUUGCCUUCUGGAAGAGGAAGCAACCUUUGCAGCUGUGAAACCUGAGAGAACAAUGGAGGUUGUGUAGACCAGAAGUUACAGGGGGCUGCUCUCAGGGCUUGAUGCCAGAGAUGUCCCACAGCAGCAAUCUUUUCUCUGUAAUAAAUUCUAAACUUCUCUUGACCUUAUUGCUGCAUUCUGGGCUGAAAUACAUCUGAACAACUGAUGGGAGGCUGAAUUUGAACUCAGCUUUUUAUUCCUGCCUUAGCCAUGCAGUGGAAGAACAUCUCAUACCACACCCUCCAUCUUGCUGUUGUGAAUUAAGUUGCUUUUUCAAGUGGUUCCUCACAUGCAGAUAUGUGCAAAAAUUGGAACUGAAUUAUUACUUUGUCCUCAGAGAAUUAAAACCUUUAAAAAUGCCUGCUUCUUGCCAAAUGAGACGUAAGAUCCUGAUUUACACCAUCAGUUUUCUAUACAUUGCAAGACAAAGAAAUAUUAAAAAAAGGAAAAGCCAAGGAAUAGUGUUAGCAGAAUCAAGACAAAUUGAAUUUAUCAUUGACAAAGGAAGAGGUAGGUUGUAACUGAUG